Molecule: ribosomal RNA, 542 nt
Filed under: uncultured eukaryote
Lineage: Eukaryota
Description: SSU rRNA
Rfam family: Eukaryotic small subunit ribosomal RNA
Source: RNAcentral
UGUAUUUAUUAGAUUAAAAACCAAUGCCCUUCGGGGCUCCUUGGUGAUUCAUAAUAACUUAACGAAUCGCAUGGCCUUGUGCCGGCGAUGGUUCAUUCAAAUUUCUGCCCUAUCAACUUUCGAUGGUAGUAUAUGGGACUACCAUGGUUUCAACGGGUAACGGGGAAUUAGGGUUCUAUUCCGGAGAGGGAGCCUGAGAAACGGCUACCACAUCCAAGGAAGGCAGCAGGCGCGCAAAUUACCCAAUCCCGACACGGGGAGGUAGUGACAAUAAAUACUGAUACAGGGCUCUUUUGGGUCUUGUAAUUGGAAUGAGUACAAUUUAAAUCCCUUAACGAGGAACAAUUGGAGGGCAAGUCUGGUGCCAGCAGCCGCGGUAAUACCAGCUCCAAUAGCGUAUAUUAAAGUUGUUGCAGUUAAAAAGCUCGUAGUUGAACCUUGGGCCUGGCUGGCCGGUCCGCCUCACCGCGUGCACUGGUCCGGCUGGGUCUUUCCUCCUGGGGAGCCGCAUGCCNCUUCACUGGGUGUGUCGGGGAACCAGG